This 362-nucleotide long non-coding RNA is filed under the name Lathyrus oleraceus (garden pea). RNAcentral's name for it is "Pisum sativum (pea) long non-coding RNA (PSAT_LNC017884)". The record is from RNAcentral. Lineage: Eukaryota; Viridiplantae; Streptophyta; Magnoliopsida; Fabales; Fabaceae.
AGUGGUGGAAGAAGUAUAUUGAAGCACCAAGGAAAGCAGGAGAAAAAGCCAUGGAAAGAGAACCUGGAGGAUGGAAAGUGUUGAAAAUCCUUUCAUGAAACAUGUUCAUGACAUAAUUUAUUUUUCCAUAAAAAUUGUGAAUUCUUGUGAUCAAAUGAAUGUGAGAUAUGUCUAGGAAUAUUUAGGAGUCAAAAUUGAGUCAAUGGUCAAAAAUUGACCAAAAGUCAACAGUUGAUCAAAAACUCAACCAUACCAAAAUGAUGUAAAUUUUUAUCAUUUUUCCUUGUAAUCCCUUAUCUUCACUUGUGUCUCAAACAAUAAGUCUUGUAUCAUGAAUAAAUGAAAUAUUAUAUGAAUUUCCA